UGAGAUCAAGAUAUGCAAAAUACACACGGAUCUGAACAUUUCUGAUCCGUUGACAAAACCACUCCCGCAGGCUAAGCAUGAUGCGCAUGUAAGAGCUAUGGGUAUUAGGUACCUUCUAGAUUGACUCUAGUGCAAGUGGGAGACUGUUGGAGGUAUGCCCUAGAGGCAAUCAUAGAGAUGAUGAUAUUCCAUUUGUAUCCAUGAUUUGUAUGUUGUGUUCAUUGAAUAUCCAUUGAAGGCUACUUGAAUUGAUUUGCAAUUAUGUGAAUUGUAUGUGAAACUCUUUACUUGUAUGGUUAUUCUAAAGUUAUCCCUAGUCGGAGUUCAUGUGAGGACACACAUGAAUAUUAGACUAGCACAUGUAUUAGUUGAUGACUAUGUUUCACAAGUCAUGGACAUGGAGAUGUUGAACUAAUAAUGUGGACACAUGUGGAGACAUGUGCUAGGACUGACCCAACACGAGAAGUAGUUCUCUCUUUAAACAACAUAUACGCUUUGUCCUUAGACCUGAGAUUGUCGCAUGUGUUCUAGAUGUGGAUCGACCUACUUAGGGGCUAUCAAACGCUACGCCGUAACAGGGUAGUUAUAAAGGUAGCUUUCGGGUUUGUCGAGAAGCAUGCUAUGAGACAUGGUCAAUCAAGAUGGGAUUUGCCCCUCUCUGAUUGAGAGUGAUAUCUCUGGGCCCCUCGAGUGAUCGGAUCCGAAAAUGCAUGGCCAUGCUACAUACGGUUAAGAGUUAACCUACAAAGGGAUUCCGAAUCACAGGAUCGAGAAAGAGCGGUCGGCUUGAAGCUAGACCAAAUAUCGUGAGGCAAAGGGAAAGGGAAUAGCAUGUAUAUUAUGUUGUGAUGGUUCGUCUGAUAUGAUCUUCGUGUGCGUAUAGGAGUUGGCACGUCUUGCUAGAGGCCGCUACCGACUAUUGGGCCGAGUAGGGGUACUCGGGCCAUGUCUAUACGUAUCCGAACCCAUAGGGUCACACACUUAAGGGGCUGGAAGCCCAAUUCGGAUCAGAUCCGAGUUGGAUUAGGUUUAGAAGUACUAAUGGGCCUCGGAUCCAGAGGCCCGUCAGGAACCUCUAUAAAUAGAGGGGUGGGGGCGCCCUAGGGUUUACACCUUUUUGGCGAAACACACCUGCCGCGCCUCCCACGCCCUCGCCUGUUGCAAUUCGCGGAUCUAGCAGUUCGGCUUGCGACGCUUCCUCCCUGCACGUGUGGAUACCUUGGAGGUGUUGCGCCUGCAGCACUUGGACGAGCCAUUGACGAGCCGCCGACGAGCCACGACGAGCCGACGACGAGCCGCGGCACCGGAGGCGAUCUUGCUGCACGUGGACGAUCUGCUGAGGAGCUGCUGGACGUGACGUGAUCGACUACGUACGACUACGUUGAUCGACUACGUACGACUACGUGAUCGUCUUCACUGCAUCGACGCAUAUCUACAUCUUCCGCACCAGUAGUGCGUCGAGUGGAAAUCCCGUGAUCCUUAUACGGCAGUUCUUCCUGGUUAUACGCGGUAGAAAUUUUGAUUUACGCUAGUGUAGCCUACCUCGUAUCCCAACAAAUUCCUGUGCGUGUCACACUAUCUAUCUAUCUAUCUUACCCUUGCCUAUAGUAUUGUCUCUAUCCAUCUAUGGUAUACUCAUAUGCAUAGUAAACUCUUUUGACCUACCCACCUUCUUUUGGGAAAUAUGAUACGCUUGGGAAUACUCUUGGGUGAAAUGCUACAACGUUAUAUCCCUGCGCUUGCAGAUUUAUUCAUGAUUAUAAUAUAUACCAACAAGCAUUUCUGGCACCUUUGCCGGGGAAGCCACAGGUUAAAAGUUUUUACUUUGUAUAUGUUUAUAUUCACAAUUGGUAGAUCUCUACUUAAGCAGGCUAACCUUGAUAUGUCCUCUAUCUUUGAUGUGAAGACAGGUAGUGUAUGACUGGUUUCGACUUGCCGACUAAUUUCAUUGAGAAUCUGGAGUCACUUGUGAGAAGGAUACGAUCUCGUGUUGUUCCUCCUUAGAUUACUCUCUUGGCAGUCGAUCAAGCUUCCUUUGCACCAUCUACGUCAAACGCUAUGGCCUAGAACACUCUUCGUGAGUACUCCACUCCCUCAGCCUCUCAGGUGCUGAAAGGCCUUGAGGUGAACAUAGGGAACGCAAGCUUCGAGAUGAAGACGGGUCUCAUUACCAUGGUGCAGGCUAGCCCAUUCUGUGGGAAACCCAAUGAGGACGCGAGCGCCCAUCUGCAGCAGUUCUUGGACCUCUGCAACACCUUCACCAUUAGAGGGGUGAGUGCAGAUGCUAUUCGUCUCCAACUAUUCCCGUUCUCUCUCCUUAGGAGAGCGAAGCAAUGGUUCUAUGCAAGCCGUUUGGAGAUUAAUAUGUGGGAUAAAUGCUUGGCAAAAUUCCUCACGAAGUUCUUUCCGUUGGGCAAAACCAACGCCCUUCAUGGAAGGAUUUUGAGUUUCUAGGAAGCAGCUAUGGAGUUAAUUCCUGAGGCGUGGGAAUGGAUUCAGAAGUACAUCCUAGUCUGUCUUUACCACGGGAUGGAUAAUUGGCUUAUUCUUCAGAAUUUCUACUACGGGUUGACUCCGACAGCCCAAGGCCAUGUUGAUGCUGCUGCUGGAGGAGCCUUCUUCUCACUUACCAUUGAUGCUGCUACAACAUUGAUCGAGAAGAUGGUCUCUAAUCAAGGGUGGAGUGAUGAAUGAAUCCAACCCUGUCAGAGGGGUACACAUUUCGUCAAGGAAGCGAACAUGCUUACGACUAAGAUGGAUCUCCUCAUGAAGAGAUUGGAUGACUACACCAAAAAGAAAGCUGCCAUGUCCAACACCGUCCAAACUAUGAAUUCUCACAUGACAUGUGAGGUUUGUGGAAACACUGACUUGAGGAAUAACUGUCUCUCAGGAGGAUGUGUUGUACAUGAACAACAACAACAACCGAUAUCGUCCACAAGGAGGCCAAGGGUGGAAUCAGCAACGCCCUUACCAAGGAGGUAAUAACGGCAAUUCUUUCAAUCCAAACCAACCCUCCUUUAGAGACCUCAUUUUUGGGCAAGCUAAGAUCAAUGGAAGCUUCACUAAAAAGUUAGCUGCCAACGAGAAAACCUUGGAAAGCCUCAACAUAAAACUUGAUGGUCUUUCUUUUGCUUUCAAGAACCACUGAAUUUUAAUAAAAUUCUAGAAACCCAGUUAGCUCAGCUAGCCGCUGCUGUUCCCUCUGCUGAGAUCGGGAAGAUCCUGGGACAACCUGAGUCUUCUUGUGAAAAUGUUAGUGCAGUGACCGCCAGAUGGGGUAAGCCAUCUUGGAGGCCAUUUGUUGCUAACCAUGCAGGAAAAGCCCAUACACCAAGGAAGGAAUCAUGGGAUGAACUAGUAGCUACAAGCAAGGAAGAUCCGAGAUACCCGGUGAUCAGCUGCUCGAUAUGGGACUACUACAUCGAGCAGGACCUUUGUGACCUUGGAGCAAGCAUCAACAUCAUGCCCACGGUGAUGUUUGAAAGGUUGAACUAUCCUACUAUUUCCUCUACCUUGAUAAGGUUGCAGCUAGUCAAUUCGUCGAUCCGAUACCCUGAGGGAAUAGUAGAGAACAUUCCGGUGAAAAUUCGAGGUUCCUACAUCCCCAUGGAUUUUGGGGUCCUUGAUAUGGAAGGUGACUUGGGAAUGCCAUUCAUUCUUGGGCGACCAUUCCUAAAUGACGCCAAAGCAAGGAUCGAUGUUGGAGCUGGAGAAAUCCGUUUCCGCAUUAGGAGGAAGAAUAUGAUGUUCAAGUUUCAACCAAGGGAGGAGCAAUGCUACCUGAUCCAUCAAGAUGAUGAGUGGCACAUGGAGUGGAUGGAGCCACAGCCCCAAUCCAAGAAGCCACCGACUGCACGAACAAAGCCUAAGAAGAUCAAGAAGGUAUAGAGGAAGGUGGAACAAGCAUCUUCAUCCACUUCUCCAGGAUGGGAUGCCAAGUGAUAAACACGACGGAGAAGAGUCCCGCUCAUCGGACUCAAAAUGGUGAGCCCUUCGCUGAAAGGUAAAAUCGUUAGUUAUCUCAUAUUUCCCUUUCAAAAUUUUGAUUUCCCCAUCAUUUGCUUUUUUCAAAUGCAUAUUUGAUUUUUGCAACCCACAUUUGCAUGCUGGAAUUCUUUUGGCCAUUUUUCCCUUUUCGUAAAAAAAUUCUGAAAAUGAUUUUUGGGUUUAAAUAUCUUUGAAAAAUCUUUUGAGCAUUUAUUGAGCAAAUUUUGGCCGAGGCACCUAGGCGUGACAUCAUGUAGCCGUUGGAAAGCGAUCGGCCAAAGCUGGCAGCAAGUGGGGCGACAAGGGGUCGGCCGAACCGUUGGUUCGGUCGAACCAGCCCAACAGUCGUUGGGGCCCACUUGCCACUAAUAGCUAGUAGCCGUUGAGCCUUGGCUGUUUAAACUUGGCAACUCGUGCGGGGAGGGGGGGUGCCCGAGGUAGUGUUUUGGUUAGUGGUGCUCGUCGAGAUCAGGAACUCGAAGGUAAACACAUACACAUGAUUUAGAUAGGUUCGAGCUGCUGAAUAGUGUAAUACCCUACAUCCUGUGUGUUGGUUGGAUUGUAUUGCUUUGGAGGGGGUCCCUGCCUCGCCUUAUAUUGCUGGGGGCCGAGUUACAAGUUGGUUGGUUACAAGAAUAAUAGUCGGAUACGACUAGAGGAGUUCUACUCUUGUUACAAUAAGUACUUUUCCUAAUCCUCGGCUAUGUCAUAUCUUUCCAUGUAAGACUAUGUUGUCCUGUGCUAUGGUCUCCAUGUCAGAUGCGUCUUGGUGUCCAGCCCCAUAUUUAGGACUGUCCAAACCUUCUGGUGGGUCCAUAGAUAUAUGUAUGACAUUGCCACCCCCGACUGCCUGGAUCCUUUGCUCUAUAAAAAGGACCCGAGAGGGGGUGAUCUUCAUCCAUUACUUACAUUUCAUCCAUUCACUCCCUCUCCUCUCUUUGCUCCUGAGUUUUCGUGGAAGUUUUUCUCAAAGUUGAGUGCAAGCAAUCUCUCUCUUGAUUUCUUUACUGCAAGAUUGGAGGAGCAACAUUUGGGUAGGAUUUUCAUUCGAUUACGCUAAUGUAACCUGUUCCGAGUUGCUCUUGUGUUUCCUUUAUCUUCAGUGGCAAGCAUGAAGCGGGUUGCCGGUGCGUUCAGGAGGAUGACGUGUUCAAGCUCGUCCCGUUCGUGGGCUAGUGCGAGCUCUCUUCACUCCUCUGAACCAACACCGAGCACAACCUCGAUGGACUAUGAAGAAGAGCAAGCUGAACCGCAAGUUGAAGCUAUGGAGGUUGACGCAAGUGAUGCCCCCUACCUCAACUUGCAAGGCGAUCGAGAGAAGCUAGCCUAUGCUAUCCUCAAGGACCGGGCUUCGGUCACACCAAGGCCUACGACCCGGAACUUUUGGAGAAAAUAGGUAUGGAUAUCAACUUCGCCUCUUUUUGGUCUACUAUUGGGUGGGAUGAGUUUUCACUGGUUGCAGAGCUUGGUUCUCAGCCCCUCACCAUCCAGUUUCUUUGCACUCUUCAAGAGGUGACGGAUGUUUUUUUCCGACUCUUCGGGACAGAAUACCAGUAGUAGUGAGCAUGAAGCUAUCUUGGGGGAGGACCCCCACAAGAGAGGUAACUUUUAUCUUUACCGCUUUCAGAAUAUGCAUGAUAAAAACAAAUAAAAAUCUUAAAAAAACUAAAAAGACCAAAAAUAUUUACUACUUUUCUAUGCGCGGUAAGAAUAUUUUUUCUCCAUGGUUGAAAUGAUAAAUAGUUGCUAUGUUUAUUUCCUCUCAUAUGUCUUGCUACAGUAUCCUACCUAAGUUUUGAGUUUGUUGGCUUGCAUGAUCAAACCUUAGCUUGAAACUUGUGGGUAGCAAAAAACAUGAUCCAAGUCUAGGUUGUUAUGAGAUGUGAUAUGGUAGAAUAGUGUUGUUAUGAUCUUGUUCUACGUGAUGCUCAAUAUCUAGAUUUUUAUUUUUGAAAAUACUAAAAUGAUAAGUUCCUCAAUGAUGAGAAAUUCCUAUCCAAGGCCAUAUGUUGAUCCUAUUACAUAGCCUCCACAUAUGCAGCUUGUUCUCUUAUUGAGUUUGUCAAAUUGUUGUGACCCUUAGUGAGAAAAUUGUCAUACUCCCAUGAUCAAGAUCACGUACACGCCACCACCAUAUUCUAAACUUCUACACUGGAAGUUCGCAAUCAUCAUUUCAUCCAUCCACAAAAUAAAGCUCCAUGUUGUUCUAUAACCUCUCUCUCCAAAGUUAUCCUUGCAAAAGAGACUUGGGCUAUGCAAAAAGAAAUAAAAUACAUGCUCGUGAAAGCAUGAUGGAAAAAAAGAGAGAAAAGAUAGCCCAUGUCUCAAAAUAAAGACAGCAAGGAGAGAGAAGGAUCAUACAAAAAGGAGUCCAUAUACCAGUGUUGACGCCGGAUUUUGACAUGUGUUUUGAAUUGGCAUCGAAGAAGGAGAAAGGGGGCGGAUGCGACGGGCUAGAAGCUACAGUUAGGAAUCGGCCGAUUGAAGCUAUAGCGUUUUGGCCGACUGGCGGAAGAGGAGGCUGGCCUAUUGGGAGUCAAAGUGGCUUUGCCAGUUUGGGCCUAAGGUAGGCCAGGAUAAAAGAUUUGCUGAAGAAAGAGAUAGGCCCGUAGGAAAGUAAUAACCAACUCAAGUACGAGUCGAGUUUGUAGAUAUUUGUUGUCGUUUAAAAUUAGAGAUAAAUUCUAGUUGGUUAAGAAAUCAGUUGUAACAGGUUAUAAAUAGCCACCUCUAGGUUUGUGAAGAACAACACAUCAAUCAAUACAACAAAUCUACUUUUUCCUCGUACUUUACUUUCAAGUUGGCGACUUCGCCAAAAUACUUUUUCUUUCACGAGUUCGUACGGGUUGGCAGGGCUGCAUCGAAACAAUUCUCCGGCCGAUUCUGUAAGUUCCUCUUAUCGAGUAAUAUCUAAGCUUUAUCUUCGGGCGCAUCGCUAUUGUUUCAUUUAGAUUUAUUCACCAGUUAUCGAUAUCAACUAGAAUUGUAGGUUCUACCUGUUAUUUUAGUUUUUAUCACCAGUUAUCCAGCUUGAGAUACGAACUAUCGGCUUUUAUUACUUUUAUUCUUUGUUAUCACAUAGCUGAUUAGAUCUAUCCCAAGUGUUGCUUCUCUAGCGUUGUUUAGCUUGCUCUAGUAGUUUUCUUUACAAUCGCUACACGGUAUCGGGUGUUUUAUAGCUGGUCACCUCUACAGUGAAUCGGCCGAUUUGCUGAUACGCUUUUAAGACAGAUCGGAACUUUAGCCGAUCGAGGCUCCUGGAAUUUAACAUUUUUGUUUCCUUGUCAAUCAACAGGUUAGAUUGACUGGCACACCACGCGAACCGUACCAGGGUGAUAACCCGAAUAGGAGUUAAGCAGAUUCUCCCGAGUCGUGUGUCCGACGCUGAGGAUCGUUGGCUGAUUUUCAGCGCCACCAACCAUCCACCAUAUUCACCAUCCACACACAUGCACAUCUUGAUCUGGUUGUAUGACUUGCUUCUCCAAAGGAUUCGGUCUUUGACUCAGCAAUAAAUGAGGAAUAGGUAUGCCUUCAUUUUUCCCUACCUACAGCUCCACAUAAAAUCCUAUUAGGAGUAGGUUGUGAAAGAAAGGCAACCUAUACCUUGGUGAGGAAUCAUACACAUUGAGCGAUCCGAGAGUAUCACUUGAGGAACUUUGAUUUCUUUUGAAAAACUUUGCAAAACCUCCGGAUUGACCGCUGAUCAAAGGACGAGUGAAUGGUGCUCUAUAAAACCAUUCAAUCUCUCAGCCGCCCAAGACAAGGUGAAGCUACAUGCCCCAUAGAAGUAAGGUAAGAGGUAAGAUCAAUACCAACUUAUUCAAUUCUUGGUAGAAUAUUUUGUUGUAGGCUUGGCAUGAGUUAGGAAUAUGUAGCAACUGCUGAUCAACCAACCUAAGUCUUAGCACUUGUUGGGACGAGUAAAGUAAUAGCUUGGGGGAGUUAUUGACGGUCAUUAAGUACAAAAUAUGACCAUCAAUAUACUCAAGAACAAAGGAGGAUUGUCAUUUCUUACAUGCAUAUUUGGUUUCGAAUAAUGUAAUUCCACUUGUCCUUGGAGAAUAUUUAGUUGCAGGUGAAUAAGCACAAAAGGAUGGAGAAAGCACCCUCUACGGAUCCAAGAAACAUGCUUCUGGCCAAUGGGAGGUUACCAUGUGUGCAUCCCAUGUAUUGAAGGACCCACAAACUACCACAACCGUCUUAAUCAUCCAGAUAACACACACAACCACCAUUGGGACCCACAUGUCACACUACCAAGCGAAGGCGGUUGUGAGAGGGGCCAUAGGGGUUCGGCCGAACCCUUGGAUCGGCUGAACCACCUCUGGCUCCCCUCGUGAUCAGCUUCCGUGUGGCAACUGGUGAUGACUCCCCUACGUCGGUUAUGGCAUAUUCCUAGAAGAUCCUCUACCAGAACCGCCUCUUUGAGCCUAUAAAUAUGAGGGGAGGGACUCCAUUCUAGGACACACACAACUAGUGAAUCACUCUCUUUCUCUUAGUUUCCAAGUUAGUGGAGUUAGGCUGGAGUAGCUCUACUUCAGGUUCCAAGUCUCCUUGGAGGCUAGGGUAUGGCUCUUGUAUUUGUUUUUCCUAGGAUGACUUUAUUCUAUCCAAAGUAUACAUCUUCUUUAUAUAGUCUUGUGUUUGGUCCUCAUAUGCAUGGGUUAGAUAUAUGUAUCCUUGCUAUGUUGAUGUGCUAGGAUUAUAUGCUUGUAUGCUAGUCAUAUACCCUUGCUACAUAGUGUAGUCUUAUAUACGUCCAUGUAUUCCUUGAGACCAUGCUAUAUGUUAUACUCUGUGUGCAUAUAUAUCUUGUAUAGCUUAGUUGAUCUAUGCUACGAUAUCGGUUCAAUGGGUAUAUCUAUGGUGGCUUCAGCCAUUGAUACAAUAGCCUGGUAUAGCUGGAGUGUUGUUAACAAUGCAAGCAUGGUGCUUGGAUUGCUUAGCCUCAUUCGAUAUGUGUGGAACGCCAUAGGUGGUGACAGCCCUGUUGGUCCUUCAUAAUCCCCCACGUUCGGGUAUGCUGUAGGAGUUUGGAAAUUAGUAGUAACUUUACUGGGCGGAACCAGUAUGGGUACUAUGUCCCCAUGUGUUCCUGUGUGCAUAGGCCUGAGUUCUAUACAAUGUAUAUGUAUGUUAUGCUUGUAUGAUCUGUGCAGUAUAUAGGAAGUACAUAUGAACCUAGAGCUAACUCUUAGUCCUUCUCCCUAGAGAUGAUUCCCAUGUGUGUCACACUAUCUAUCUAUCUUACCCAUGCAUCGAGUAUUGUCUCUAUCCAUCUAUGAUAUACUCAUGUGGAUAGUAAACUCUUUUGACCUAUCCGCCUCCCUUUGGGAAAUACGAUACCCUUGGAAAUACUCUUAGGUGAAAUGCUACAACGGUAUAUCUGUGUGCUUGUGGAUUUAUUCGUGAUCGUUAAAUAUACCAACACAGAGCUCCCCCUCGACAGCCUGAUCCGCCGCUAGACCAUCUCCUCUACUUACCCCACGCCGCGACGCCACCUCUACCCCGUCCUCACCUCCUCGUCUAUAUGGCCACCCUGACAGCGCCAGUGCGCCACCCUAUCCCUACCACCAUAGAGCACUACCACAGCCAUGCAAUCCCCCCUGGUCAGGACACUUCCCUUCUCCCCUUUCUUCAUCACCAAGCAAAGUCGGCCACCCUCAUCUAUCCACGCUACAUGGCGGCCGUGCCGUGGUCUUCCCAGCAUAUAAAUAGGGGUAGUCGCACUCCUCGGUUCUCCACACCGAGCCAGUCGCUCCGGUCUUCACGACUGCGCCCCUCACUCUCUCAUCUCCAACCCUAGGAAUGGGUCGCCCAUGCCCUUCUCUUCCCCCCCCUCCGCUUGAUCCGUGGUGGCUGGAGCUCCAAGAUCGGGGAGCUCCCCGAGCUCACCCAGCCCCCAUCCAUGGUUGGCAGGCGUCGGGAGGAAGAUGACCCCAGUCGUCCUUUUUUUUACCCUGCACGCCUCCCCUCUCUCAUGACUGACAAGUAGGGCCACCACUUCCUACCCCUCUGGUGGACUCGGUCCACAUGGACCAAAGGUCCAGCAGCCUUGGUCCACACCAACCCACGAGCAGGUCCACCAAACAAUACCCGGUAGAGGCCCCGCCAGCUGCAUCAGCCUAUGCCAAAUUGCUACGGGCACCUAGUAAGUACACCCCAAAUCUUAUUUAGAGCUCUUCCACUAUUCCAAAAUUUUCCCAAAAAUGUCCAAAAAUACUGAAAAAUAUUCUAAGCCCAUCCAUUUAUUCCUUCUCCAUUGUUCAUUCCAUAUAAUGUUGGAGGUAUGCCCUAGAGGCAAUCAUAGAGAUGAUGAUAUUCCAUUUGUAUUCAUGAUUUGUAUAUUGUGUUCAUUGAAUAUCCAUUAAAGGCUACUUGAAUUGAUUUGCAAUUAUGUGAAUUGUAUGUGAAACUCUUUACUUGUAUGGUUAUUCUAAAGUUGUCCCUAGUCGGAGUUCAUGUAAGG
RNAcentral lists this long non-coding RNA (10453 nucleotides) under Setaria viridis. RNAcentral describes it as "long non-coding RNA (SVIR_LNC005645)". Lineage: Eukaryota; Viridiplantae; Streptophyta; Magnoliopsida; Poales; Poaceae. The record is from RNAcentral.